This 207-nucleotide ribosomal RNA is filed under the name uncultured bacterium. RNAcentral's name for it is "partial 16S ribosomal RNA". It matches the Rfam family "Bacterial small subunit ribosomal RNA", at positions 568 to 774 of the family's 1533-position model. The record is from RNAcentral.
UCCGUAGGUGGUUAGAUAAGCUAGCUGUGAAAUACCCGGGCUUAACCUGGGGAGGUCAGCUAGGACCGUUUGACUAGAGUAGUGUAGAGGGUAGUGGAAUUUCCGGUGUAGCGGUGAAAUGCGUAGAGAUCGGAAGGAACACCAGUGGCGAAGGCGGCUACCUGGGCACAUACUGACACUGAGGGACGAAAGCGUGGGGAGCAAACA